This 850-nucleotide long non-coding RNA is filed under the name Capsicum annuum. RNAcentral's name for it is "long non-coding RNA (CANN_LNC010626)". The record is from RNAcentral. Lineage: Eukaryota; Viridiplantae; Streptophyta; Magnoliopsida; Solanales; Solanaceae.
GACUGUCAAUCAACAUGAUCCAUAUGAAUUAGAAAAGUAAGAAGAACCUUUGUCUCUAUAUCCAGCUGUCAAUCAACAUGAUCCAUAUGAAUUAGAAAAGCAAGAAGAAGACUGAAGCUAGUAUCUUUGACCACAUUAGUGUAUCCAUAUCAAGCACAUCAAUGUCACCCUAAUAUCGGUCACUACAAUCUCCACCAUAUAUAUAGAGCCUAUUACCAAAAUACAAAUAAUUAGAAACAAAAGAAGCCAAAGAGAUCCAACAUCGACUAUAAAGGGCAGCCCGGUGCACUAAAGCUCCUGCUAUGCACAAGGUUCGGGGAAGGGCCCCACCACAAGGGUGUAUUGUACGCAGCCUUACCUUGCAUUUCUGCCAGACGCUGUUUCUAAGACUUGAACCCGUGACCUCCUGGUCAUAUGGCGGCAACUUUAUCAGUUACUCCAAGGCUCCCCUUCAGAUCCAACAUCGACUAUAUAUACAUAAAAUCUUUUAGUUAAUGGUGCCACAUAGUAUAUGAUAUAAACAUUGUGGAAUGUUAUAAAGCUUCAUUGCCAUGACAAGUGAGGGCACCAGCUCUAUAUUUAACCACCACCACCAGGACAUUCUGGACACCAAAAGGAAAAAUCUUAUAUAGCAAUUACUUGUUCUGCACUUGUAUCCAAGAGUACAACAACAACAACAACAUACCCAGUAUAUUCCCACCAUGUGGGGUCUGGGGAGGGUAAGUGUACACAGUUCAUACCACUACCUCAAAUGUGAGAUAGAGAGGCUGUUUCCGAUAGACCCCCGGCUCAAAAUAAAACAAUCUAAGAAGAAUAGUAAUAGAACAAGAUACAAUAGAAAUCAGGACAA